AUUCAUUAUUUCAAUUCACUUUAUUAUAGUCAAAAAUAAACAAAAUACAAAAACAAAUGCAAGGAAGGGAAGUUAACUUCGGGCGGAGGCGAAGUUUGAAUACGCAAGAAAAUGACAAAGUAUUUAUACCAGGUGUAUAAAUAUCCUAGAUCCUAAAAUCCCAGACAACGAGAAAUCUCAAAAAAUUCCGGAAAAAACAAAGAUACCGGAAAUUUCAAAUCCUAAGGAAAAUGGACUAAAAAAGGACUAACAUGUUCAGCCGGAUCAGGGAUUUAGAGAUCAGGGAGAUAGAGUGGCAACGUCCAAACAUAUCGGUUUGAAAAGUGACAGGAGUGGCAGUUCAGCAACAUGGUGGAUCGGGCACGAUCAAGUUAAUGUUAGGAAAGUCUGGAAGGCCUACAUGAAGCUUUUUGCUUUAACCCAUUAAAAAGAAAGGAAAAAGAGUAGGAGAUAAGAGGCUCUAAUGGAGUUUUGUAGGAACACGGUGAUUAACGGAGCCUUAGCGGACGUAUUGAGGUAAGGGAAAGAAAAGCGGAGAGCUUGUCGGAUCGGUGACAAAAAUGAGGUUAGAAGCAACGGUGUAGGCGGAUUCAGCUGCUAAAAGACCUCAUUUAACCUCACUCUUAUCGAGGAUCGCAAUCAACCAUAUUUUUUCUCGGCGGAGUUCAGAACAAGAGAACGCGCAGGUGAGAUAAUUGCGAUUAAUUUUAAAUUCUAUGAUGAGACAGAGAAGAAGAGCAUGAAGAACCCACCCACUAGUGGCCGAGACCUAGACCGACGUUUGUUCCCGAUAGUUACCGAUUAUUCAGUUUAUCGAUUGAUUGAUAAGAAUCGAUAGUUUUCCCAAUAUUUGCUAUCAUAAUUUGACAUUUAGUUUUGACAUGUGUUUGCUUCAUUUUUAAUUAUUUAAUAGUCCUUUUUUAUUAAUGUUUUUAUUAAAUAUUGCUUCUUAUAUUAUAAAAUAUUAUAACGGUUAAUAAAAUUCCAAAUCAGUGAAAA
Molecule: long non-coding RNA, 999 nt
Organism: Drosophila ananassae
Lineage: Eukaryota; Metazoa; Arthropoda; Insecta; Diptera; Drosophilidae
Exons: 2
Source: RefSeq, a predicted model, not a curated record